Molecule: ribosomal RNA, 253 nt
Filed under: uncultured bacterium
Lineage: Bacteria
Description: partial 16S ribosomal RNA
Rfam family: Bacterial small subunit ribosomal RNA
Source: RNAcentral
UACGUAGGGUCCGAGCGUUGUCCGGAAUUAUUGGGCGUAAAGGGCUCGUAGGCGGUUUGUCGCGUCGGGAGUGAAAACACGGGGCUUAACCCCGUGCCUGCUUCCGAUACGGGCAGACUAGAGGUAUGCAGGGGAGAACGGAAUUCCUGGUGUAGCGGUGAAAUGCGCAGAUAUCAGGAGGAACACCGGUGGCGAAGGCGGUUCUCUGGGCAUUACCUGACGCUGAGGUGCGAAAGCGUGGGGAGCAAACAGG